UACGUAGGGGGCUAGCGUUGUCCGGAAUCAUUGGGCGUAAAGAGCGUGUAGGCGGUUCGGUAAGUCCGCUGUGAAAGUCGGGGGCUCAACCCUCGGAUGCCGGUGGAUACUGUCGGACUAGAGUACGGAAGAGGCGAGUGGAAUUCCUGGUGUAGCGGUGAAAUGCGCAGAUAUCAGGAGGAACACCGAUUGCGAAGGCAGCUCGCUGGGACGUUACUGACGCUGAGACGCGAAAGCGUGGGGAGCAAACAGG
This 253-nucleotide ribosomal RNA is filed under the name uncultured bacterium. RNAcentral's name for it is "partial 16S ribosomal RNA". It matches the Rfam family "Bacterial small subunit ribosomal RNA", at positions 524 to 776 of the family's 1533-position model. The record is from RNAcentral.